RNAcentral lists this transfer RNA (74 nucleotides) under Gymnosphaera denticulata. RNAcentral's name for it is "Alsophila denticulata tRNA-Pro". It matches the Rfam family "tRNA". Rfam says of the family: Transfer RNA (tRNA) molecules are approximately 80 nucleotides in length. Their secondary structure includes four short double-helical elements and three loops (D, anti-codon, and T loops). The record is from RNAcentral. RNAcentral also lists the same sequence under 6 other names. Lineage: Eukaryota; Viridiplantae; Streptophyta; Polypodiopsida; Cyatheales; Cyatheaceae.
CGGAAUAUAGCGCAGCUUGGUAGCGUGCCAUCUUGGGGUGGUGGAGGUCGCAGGUUCAAAUCCUGCUAUUCCGA